GAUGAACGCUGGCGGCGUGCCUAAUACAUGCAAGUCGAGCGAACAGACGAGGAACUUUCCCCUCUGAAGUUAGCGGCCGACGUGUGAGUAACACGUGGAGAACCUACCUAUUAGACUGGGAUAACUUCGGGAAACCGGAGCGAAUACCGGAUAAUAUAUUCAAUCGAACGGUUCAAUAGUAUAAGACGAUUUUGCUGUCACUUAUAGAUUAAUCUGCGCGGCAUUCGCUAGUUGUUGAUGUAACGGUGUACCAAGACCACGUUGCGUAGCAGACCUCAGAGGGUGAGCGGCCACACCGGAAUGGAGACACGGUCCAGAAUCCUACGGGAGGCAGCAGUCGGGAAUCUCCAGGAAUGGCAGCAAGCGUGACGGAGGAACGACGCGGGAGUGAUGAAGGCAUCCGGAUCGUAUGACUUUGUUAUUAGGGAAGAAGUAAUGUGUAAGUGACUAUGAACAAAUUGACGGUACCAAACGAGAAAGGCCCGGCUAACUACGUG
This 497-nucleotide ribosomal RNA is filed under the name uncultured bacterium. RNAcentral describes it as "partial 16S ribosomal RNA". It matches the Rfam family "Bacterial small subunit ribosomal RNA", at positions 28 to 507 of the family's 1533-position model. The record is from RNAcentral.